GCCUAACAGGCUGCCGUCUAUGGGGUCGCACAGAGUUGGACACGACUGAAGCGACUUAGCAGCAGCUCAAGGAUAUGAUGAAAUCCUUUCUUCUAACAUCUUCAUGAACUUCUCAGAAUAUUUACUUAGGAUAACUUUCUAAAAUUGGACUUGCUGGCUAAAAGUAUGAAGGGUGGUGCAAGCAUGCCCUGUCUUCUCCCCCACUCCUGGGCACACAGGAGACACCACUUCCCAGCCCCUAGAGUCAUUCAGGUCUUGUUCCUAAUUAUGGCCAAUGAAGUACGAGCAGCAGUGACACGUGACACGUCCAGGCUGAGACUCUGAGAUGCCCCUGGGCAGGUCUGCAGACUCCUGUUGCCUUGGUGACGUCCCAGGGCUGGAGCCUCUGUCAGCCUGGGUCCCUGAGUGACUGUGUGGAUAGCUGCCCUUCUCCCACUAUGACACGGCCCCACCUGCAUGAACCUGCAGUGUGGAUAAAGAAUAAAUGUUAAGUCUUAACACUACUGGCAUGUCACGGUUACUGAAGCACACAUAAUGUAUCCUGACUAAGAAUACAAUAUGCGCAUGUUGGGGACUUUUAAUAUGGGACUUCCCUGGUGGCUCAGCUGGUAAACAUCUCUCCUCAUAUUGCCUUCCAGAAAGAUGAUACCAAAUUAUACUCCCGCCAGCAGUGUGUGAGAACGUCUGACUCCCUCUUUUGCACUGGUGUUACUGUGGGGACCACAGGGCUAGUUUUGAUAUGCAUUUUUUUAAUUGAAAGUGUGACACACCCUAGCUGAAAUAUUUAUUAGAUUAUAUUCUUUUCUUGUUUACCUAUUCAUCUUCUCUGGCCAAUUUUCUCACAAGGUGUUUAGCUGUCUUAUUGAUUUCUAAGAACUUGUUUCCCCAGCCGCCCUCACUGCCCCCUGAUUAGCUGACUCGUUGAUUUCUAAGAAGUUGUUUUUCCCCUAAAAAUAUUUUUUUUUAAGUUCCAUAUAUGACUUGGACUAAAAAAAAUUUUAUUUUUAGUCAACUUUAUCUUUUCCUUCAUUGCUGCUGCCUUUGCUGGCCUGCUUUUAAACAUCUUUGCAUUUCUGAUUUCAAGUUAAUGAAUUUUCACCAGUCUUUUAUUUGUGUACUUUUAUCAUUUUUUUAAGCAAUUAAAUCUGUGAUCCAUUUGGAAUUUAUUUUCCAAGUUACCCCAACUUCACUUACGGGGAAACCUUUCCUUUCUCUACUGAUAAAAGACCCCACUUUUCACUGUGUACGCAAUCCUUAUAUGUCAUAAACAUCCUUCUGAACUUUCUGUGUGGUCCACGGUGUACAUUUUUGGCACUGGUACCACAUAGUUUGAUCAUCUCACAUUUGAAUGUCCCCAUUUAAAUAAAUGUCUUCAAAAAUGUCCUAGUACUUUUGUAUGUUGAUAUUUCCAAAAGAACAUCAGGUUCAUUUUGUAAUGUUUAUAGAAGAACUGAAAAUUAAAUUGUGUAAAAUUUAUAGGUUACUAUAGAGAGAAUUGGGCUUCCCUGGUGGCUCAGAUGGCUCAGAAUCCGCCCGCAUUGUGGGAGACCUGGGUUCAAUCCCUGGAUUGGGAAGAUCCCCAGGGGAGGGCAUGGCAACUCACUCCAGUAUUCUUGCCUGGAGAAUCCCCAUGGAAAGCCCUGGUGGGCUGUAGUCUAUGGAGUUGCAAAGAGUCAGACACGACUGAGCAACUUAGCACAACACAUAACUAGAAUUAACAACUUCAUAAUAUUUAACCUUUCAUUUCAGUAAAUUUAUAAAGUAUUGUGUUCCUCUGUGUAUUCUUUCUGGUAUAGAUCAUUUUUUUGUAGUUGUGGUUCUAUGGUAAAUGAGCUCUUUGUCCAUUAUAUUUUCCAGCCUCUUAUUGUUCACAUAAAGGUACACCACUGAUUAAAUCAAUUAAAUCCAUUGAUUUUUUAAAUUUAAAAUAUUACAUAAAAGCUAUGUAAAUGUAAAGAGUAUGAAAAAACAUAAUAUGGAAAUUGAAAGCCCCCCAUAAUUAAAAAUCCCUCUGCCCCAAGAUAAAACAGUCAACAGGGAUCUACUGCUGCUGCUGCUAAGUCGCUUCAGUCGUGUCCGACUCUGUGCGACCCCAUAGACGGUAGCCCACCAGACUCCCCCGUCCCUGGGAUUCUCCAGGCAAGAACACUGGAGUGGGUUGCCAUUUCCUUCUCCAGUGCGUGAAAGUGAAGUCGCUCAGUCGUGUCCGACUCCUUGCGACCCCAUGGACUGCAGCCCACCAGGCUCCUCCGUCCGUGGGAUUUUCCAGGCAAGAGUCCUGCAGUGGGGUGCCAUUGCCUUCUCCACAACAGGGAUCCCUGGUCCUCAAAUCUUUUUUUCCUGAAAUAUAUUUUAUCAUUUGGACCAUAUGAUAGACCCUUCUGCUACUUGCAUUUUUCCCUUGGCAAUAGAUCUUGGACAUUUUCCUGUCUGUAGAUAUCAAUCUACCUCAUUUUUCUUAACUCUUCAUAGAGAGUUCUAUGGUUGUUUGUUUAUCUAAUGUGAUAAUUGGUUAUUUAUUUUGUAGCUAGCCAGUUACUGAAUUUCCUUUUAAUUGUUUUGCUGUUAAUUCUCUUGCCUUUUUCACGUAGAUAAUAGUUCUGAGUAGUGAUGGUAACUUUACCUCCAUAUUUUUAAAUAAUUUUAAAUAAUUUUAAAUAAUCUUAUUUCACUACCUUAUCACAUUGAACAGCACUUUUAGAAUAAUGGUAAAUAACAUCUAUAUAAAUUGUGCCGAUAUUGUACAUUCUUCUUUAUAUAUAUUUUUUACUUGGUAAUACCUCCAGU
Molecule: long non-coding RNA, 2787 nt
Organism: Bos taurus (domestic cattle)
Lineage: Eukaryota; Metazoa; Chordata; Mammalia; Artiodactyla; Bovidae
Source: Ensembl